Chiloscyllium plagiosum (whitespotted bambooshark) is the source of this 276-nucleotide long non-coding RNA. RefSeq lists it as uncharacterized. Lineage: Eukaryota; Metazoa; Chordata; Chondrichthyes; Orectolobiformes; Hemiscylliidae. The record is from RefSeq and is a predicted model, not a curated record.
GACGCAUGUGGUUUCCUAUGUCAGAACGCGGGAAAUGAGUGCAAUUUAUACUUGUCAUAAUCUGAUGCUCAUUCAGUUCGACCUGAAAUUCAUUGCACUGGCAACAAUCAUGGGGAAACAUGAGAUUACAUGGUAGAGAGGCAUAUUUGCAUGGUGAUCACGAUUGGGUGUUCACUGUUCUGGAAAAUAGGUAGAAUGGAAAAGGAGAGAAAAAGGACGUGGUGUUGAUAAUAAAGAGAUCAGAUUAGAUUCCCUACAGUGUGGAAACAGGACCUU